CCGCCCAGGGCGCCACCGACGCCGGCACGGGUGUCGCCGUCCGCGAAGGCGGAACCACCGACCAGCGCAAGAGACAACAGGAGCAUCGAGGAGUACUUCAUAGAGAGGUUCUCUGUGUGGAUGUUGGCGCCGAUGCUGCUGUUGUGCGAAGGCGCUUACAAGCCUCUGCCGACGAGUGACGCGACUUUCAUCAAAAAACGCAAGUAUAUGAUUUAAGAACAGAACUUUUUCUAUUUCGGGCUGUCAGAAUGACAUUCCGAGGGUACGGAAUUCGCGUGUUUUUCUCACAAAAUGCUGUUGC
This 301-nucleotide small RNA is filed under the name Pseudomonas citronellolis. Its description in RNAcentral is "Pseudomonas sRNA P34". It matches the Rfam family "Pseudomonas sRNA P34", at positions 1 to 313 of the family's 399-position model. The record is from RNAcentral. Lineage: Bacteria; Pseudomonadati; Pseudomonadota; Gammaproteobacteria; Pseudomonadales; Pseudomonadaceae.